CCUCCAUGUUUUUUUUACUCCACGUCUUUUCUUUUACAUUACCAGCCGUCUGAUUUAAGCUUUUGACCAAGGCCGAGACCUCUUUUGUAGGCUUUUACUUUACUUCAUUAUCCAAAACUAAGUAAAGUCCAAUCCUCCAAAAACCCAUUCAACCUUCUCCUCUUUCUUAUCCAUUCUAUUUAACCAAUUUAAAUUUUGCGCUCAGACGUGAACUAAGUUAGUGUUUAAGUACAAUGAUAUUAUUAGUAAACUAGAUAGUUUGAUAUUAUUAGCAAGUCAGAUAGGUAAUUGUUAGGAAAAAGAGUAGUGAGAAUUCACUUUAUUAUGCAGAAAAUACAUAAUUAUUAUUAUUAUCCACCAUUGCAAUAAAAAGUCAUUCACGUGAGUUAGGUUAGUAGAUCAAACUCGUUUUUUUCUCUAUGUUUAAGCUUGGAUUGCAAUCCAACUAUUCAGAAUUAGAACAUGAAAUUAGAAUAAUUCAGAAAUACUUUUUUUGUAGGGAAUGAAAAAUAAGAAAAAGUUUGCAGUUCCAAAAUUUAGACAAACGAAAAAUGGAUAAUACUGAACAGAUUAAAUAUGUAAACUAAAUUUUAUAAAGUAAAUGAUAUGAAAAU
This 614-nucleotide long non-coding RNA is filed under the name Malus domestica (apple). RNAcentral's name for it is "long non-coding RNA (MDOM_LNC002397)". Lineage: Eukaryota; Viridiplantae; Streptophyta; Magnoliopsida; Rosales; Rosaceae. The record is from RNAcentral.